GGCCCCGAGGUGAACAGCAUCACGUUGAAUUGCAAAUUCAAAGGAGUAGGGUGGCCUACCGGGGCCU
This 67-nucleotide transfer RNA is filed under the name Sicista concolor (Chinese birch mouse). RNAcentral's name for it is "tRNA-Cys". The record is from RNAcentral. Lineage: Eukaryota; Metazoa; Chordata; Mammalia; Rodentia; Dipodidae.